RNAcentral lists this ribosomal RNA (292 nucleotides) under uncultured Bacteroidota bacterium. Its description in RNAcentral is "uncultured Bacteroidetes bacterium partial 16S ribosomal RNA". The record is from RNAcentral. Lineage: Bacteria; Pseudomonadati; Bacteroidota.
GGACUACCAGGGUUUCUAAUCCUGUUUGAUCCCCACGCUUUCGUGCCUCAGUGUCAAUGUAUCCGUAGUAAGCUGCCUUCGCAAUUGGUGUUCUAUGUCAUAUCUAAGCAUUUCACCGCUACAUGACAUAUUCCGCUUACCUCCAGAUAAUUCAAGACUUAUAGUAUCAAUGGCAGUUUCCGGGUUAAGCCCGGAGAUUUCACCGCUGACUUACAAGCCCACCUACGCACCCUUUAAACCCAGUGAAUCCGGAUAACGCUUGCACCCUCCGUAUUACCGCGGCUGCUGGCAC